RNAcentral lists this ribosomal RNA (425 nucleotides) under uncultured bacterium. RNAcentral's name for it is "partial 16S ribosomal RNA". It matches the Rfam family "Bacterial small subunit ribosomal RNA", at positions 354 to 796 of the family's 1533-position model. The record is from RNAcentral.
GUGGGGAAUCUUGCGCAAUGGGCGAAAGCCUGACGCAGCCAUGCCGCGUGAAUGAUGAAGGUCUUAGGAUUGUAGAAUUCUUUCACCCGGGACGAUAAUGACGGUACCCGGAGAAGAAGCUCCGGCUAACUUCGUGCCAGCAGCCGCGGUAAUACGAAGGGGGCUAGCGUUGCUCGGAAUUACUGGGCGUAAAGGGCGCGUAGGCGGACAGCUUAGUCAGAGGUGAAAGCCCAGGGCUCAACCUUGGAAUUGCCUUUGAUACUGGCUGUCUUGAGUGUGGGAGAGGUGAGUGGAACUCCGAGUGUAGAGGUGAAAUUCGUAGAUAUUCGGAAGAACACCAGUGGCGAAGGCGACUCACUGGCCCAAUACUGACUCUGAGGCGCGAAAGCGUGGGGAGCAAACAGGAUUAGAAACCCGAGUAGUCC